This 301-nucleotide ribosomal RNA is filed under the name uncultured bacterium. RNAcentral's name for it is "partial 16S ribosomal RNA". It matches the Rfam family "Bacterial small subunit ribosomal RNA", at positions 509 to 807 of the family's 1533-position model. The record is from RNAcentral.
CAGUCGCCGCGGGAAUACGUAGGGUGCAAGCGUUAAUCGGAAUUACUGGGCGUAAAGCGUGCGCAGGCGGUUUGUUAAGACAGAUGUGAAAUCCCCGGGCUCAACCUGGGAAUGGCAGUGGAUACUGGCUCGCUAGAGUGUGUCAGAGGAUGGUGGAAUUCCCGGUGUAGCGGUGAAAUGCGUAGAGAUCUGGAGGAACAUCAGUGGCGAAGGCGGCCAUCUGGGACAACACUGACGCUGAGGCACGAAAGCGUGGGGAGCAAACAGGGUUAGAUACCCGCGUAGUCCCUGUCUCUUAUAC